Molecule: non-coding RNA, 114 nt
Organism: Acanthosepion pharaonis
Lineage: Eukaryota; Metazoa; Mollusca; Cephalopoda; Sepiida; Sepiidae
Source: the annotation of a GenBank genome assembly
UAUGGCCACAUCACAUUGAAACACUGAUUCCCAUAUGAUCAGCAAAGUUAAGCAACACUCAAGCCUGCUCAGUACCUAGAUGGGUAACCACUUGGGAUUAUCAGGUGCUGUAAG